GCGUCAUAAUGCUGCGACAGACAGGUUUGUUGUUGUUUUGAACGAAUCAGUUUUUACGGUGUUCAGAUGGAUUUAAAGCUUUUACAGAUGUACUGCAGCACAACAAGCUGAUGGAGGUGAAAGAGGGACAUCAGUUUCAGAGAAGUGGACACCAGUCUUUAAAUGCCAGAGAUAAAGAGUUUGUCACUCAUAAAGGUGACCUGAAGAGACACAGAAGGAUACACACAGGAGAGAGACCUCACAUCGCUGUCUAAACCGCUGCACUCAGAAACAGCAUCUGAAGACACACACACAAGGAUCCACACCCAAGAAAACUCUGACGUUUGUCCUCAGUGUUGAAGGAGCUUCAAAUAUCUGAGUAACUUAAGACACAUGACAGUCCAUUCAGAGAUAAAACUGCACCACUGAACACAGAAUGUCUCAUUUAAUCUAAAAUCCAAAUAUUGAGUGUAGUUUCUCCCAAAAUAGCUGCUAAAAGUCAUGAUUAUUAUUUAUUAUUAUGAUACUAUUAUUUAUUCAUAUUAAUUUAUAUAUUCAUUGUUUUAUGUUAGAUAUUAUAUAUUACAUUAUGGGGAAUGAAUUGUCAUUGUUAUUUUGACAAGAGUUUAAUGUAUUCCAACAACAGUCUGUAUGUUCCUCAAAACAAUCCUUCUCACUCCACAAAGAGCAUUUAUUAUCGUUCUACUCAAUUUUCAUGUCUCUGCCGUUGCAUCACAUCAUCAGUUAAUCAUUUUUCUGUGUUCUGUAAAUACUUUGUACAGUAUGUAUUGUGUUCAGUAUUCUGUGUUUUGUGUAUAUUGUAUUGAACAUGACAGUGUUAAUAGUCCAUGCAAACGCUAUAGAUUUUUACACACUGUUGCAUAAUAAAUUGUUCUGAUUUGAUUA
Long non-coding RNA from Carassius gibelio (silver crucian carp), 885 nucleotides. RefSeq lists it as uncharacterized. NCBI's taxonomy places the organism in Eukaryota, Metazoa, Chordata, Actinopteri, Cypriniformes, Cyprinidae. The transcript is spliced from 2 exons. The record is from RefSeq and is a predicted model, not a curated record.